This 492-nucleotide ribosomal RNA is filed under the name uncultured bacterium. Its description in RNAcentral is "partial 16S ribosomal RNA". It matches the Rfam family "Bacterial small subunit ribosomal RNA", at positions 29 to 507 of the family's 1533-position model. The record is from RNAcentral.
AGUGAACGCUGGCGGUAGGCCUAACACAUGCAAGUCGAACGGCAGCACAGUAAGAGCUUGCUCUUACGGGUGGCGAGUGGCGGACGGGUGAGGAAUACAUCGGAAUCUACUUUUUCGGGGGGGAUAACGUAGGGAAACUUACGCUAAUACCGCAUACGACCUACGGGUGAAAGCAGGGGAUCGUCGGACCUUGCGCGAUUGAAUUAGCCGAUGUGGGAUUAGCUAGUUGGCGGGGUAAAGGCCCACCAAGUCGACGAUCCGUAGCUGGUCUGAGAGGAUGGUCAGCCACACUGGAACUGAGACACGGUCCAGACUCCUACGGGAGGCAGCAGUGGGGAAUAUUGGACAAUGGGCGCAAGCCUGACCCAGCCAUACCGCGUGGGUGAAGAAGGCCCUCGGGUUGGAAAGCCCUUUUGUUGGGAAAGAAAAGCAGCAGGUUAAUACCCCGCUGUUCUGACGGUACCCAAAGAAUAAGCACCGGCUAACUUCGUG